UACAGAGGUGGCAAGCGUUGUUCGGAAUUACUGGGCGUAAAGGGCGCGUAGGCGGCCUACUAAGUCAGACGUGAAAUUCCCCGGCUCAACCGGGGGCCUGCGUCGGAUACUGCUUGGCUUGAGUCCCGGAGAGGGUAGUGGAAUUCCCAGUGUAGCGGUGAAAUGCGUAGAUACUGGGAGGAACACCGGUGGCGAAGGCGGCUACCUGGACGGGUACUGACGCUGAGGCGCGAAAGCUAGGGGAGCAAAUGGG
RNAcentral lists this ribosomal RNA (253 nucleotides) under uncultured bacterium. RNAcentral's name for it is "partial 16S ribosomal RNA". It matches the Rfam family "Bacterial small subunit ribosomal RNA", at positions 524 to 776 of the family's 1533-position model. The record is from RNAcentral.